CAAAUUAAAGCUUGUAUAGUAUUUUAUUUACAUUAAAAAGAUUGAUGUUAAUUCAUUAUAAUUUGA
RNAcentral lists this transfer RNA (66 nucleotides) under Scydosella musawasensis. RNAcentral's name for it is "tRNA-Val". Lineage: Eukaryota; Metazoa; Arthropoda; Insecta; Coleoptera; Ptiliidae. The record is from RNAcentral.